RNAcentral lists this ribosomal RNA (318 nucleotides) under uncultured eukaryote. RNAcentral describes it as "partial 18S ribosomal RNA". It matches the Rfam family "Eukaryotic small subunit ribosomal RNA", at positions 1470 to 1796 of the family's 1831-position model. The record is from RNAcentral.
CCCUUAGAUGUCCUGGGCCGCACGCGUGCUACACUGACGCAUACAGCGAGCACUUUCCAGUUCCGAGAGGCUACUGGUAAUCAUCAAUAUGCGUCGUGAUGGGGAUAGAACUUUGGAAUUCUGGAUCUUGAACGAGGAAUGCCUAGUAAUCGCAGGUCAUUAGCCUGCGAUGAUUAAGUCCCUGCCCUUUGUACACACCGCCCGUCGCUACUACCGAUUUCGAGUGGUCAGGUGAAUCUUUCGGACUGUGGGCGCCCUUGAGGUGUUCGCGGAAAGUCAGGUAAAUCUUAUCACUUAGAGGAAGUAAAAGUCGUAACA